AAGGUCGGUGAAGGUGGACAACCGAACCUUCCAUGAACCUACUCACCUUGUGAGAUACUUAACCGCCCAAAUGAAUCAAUGUCGCGAUCGGAGGUACUUCGAAAGAUGGAAAAAUGCUCCUAUGGCUGGAAGAUUUCCGCGGAAUGAUGGAAUUGAUUAUCGCCUAUCAUGUCUGUGGAUUGAAAAGGCACUCGUAAGUUCCAUAAUCAUCAGGAACGCGUUUGCCGUUCAGGAAGGAAAUCUAAUGGCUCAUGCAACCGCUGCAGGUGGAACGCAAGUAGCAAAUAAAUUGUGCCGCCACUGUCAUAGCGAUCUUGAGACAGUUGCGCAUAUCGUAUCCAACUGCCAAAAAUGGCUACCAAAUCUUUAUAUUGAUCGUCAUGAUUCCGUAGCGCGGAAUGUAUAUUUCGCUAUAUGCGUGAAAUAUGGCUUGUCUAUCAUUCAUUACAGCAACCAGAUCCCUCCGGUUGCUGAAAAUGAGAGUGCAAAGGUAUUGUGGAAUAUGGAGAUAAGAACGAAAUCCUUGCUGUUUCACCGUCGGCCAGAUAUACUAAUAUUUGACAAGGUAAGACGCCGAAUUUUGGUGAUUGAAAUAUCCAUUUCUGGAAUGUACGGAAUGAAGCAGCAGCUAAGUAUAAAGACUAACCGGUACACGGUUAAUUCUAUGAAGUUGAACGAGGAAUCUAGCACCCCAUACCCACCUGGACCUAACCUGGUAAGGGAUCUCCAGGAGACAUACCGUCAAGAGGUCAGGUUCUACCCCUUGAUAGUAGGAGUAUGCGGUGAACAAAUAUCGGAAACAAGAACCUAUUUAUCGGAAAUACUAGAGCGCAAAGUUUCAGAUUGUGAUAGUAUCGUAGAGCGGAUGUCACGUUCAGCAGCGAUCGGUACAUCCAGAAUUGUCAAGGCCCACUUUUCUCGGUAAGUAUUCUCGCGUGAAGAGAAGUGAUAGCGAAGCGGAGAGUUCAAGUAAAGGAAGCCACGCUCGUCAUCCUCAAAGCUCCGGGACCCGUUCCCAUUGUCUUGGCUCGCUGGAUAAUAGAUGGAGAUGGGGGUUAAUCCGUGAUGAUUAAAACCCACCACCGGACGGAAGAUCAGAGAUUCCGGUGGUAACCUGAGGGUCGAUGACCCUUACCGAUGGCCUUUGGCCACCGGGGCUACCUCUGUGAGGGGGUAGCAGGAUGCGAAAUGACGCGCAUGAAUGGAUUAACGAGAUUCCCACUGUCCCUAUCUACUAUCUAGCGAAACCACAGCCAAGGGAACGGGCUUGGCGAACACAGCGGGGAAAGAAGACCCUGUUGAGCUUGACUCUAGUCCGACUCUGUGAAGAGUCAUGAGAGGUGUAGCAUAAGUGGGAGGCUUUCGCCAACAGUGAAAUACCACUACUUUCAUCGAUUCUUUACUUAUUCGGUAAGACGAGAAUUGAGCCUAUCCGGCUCUUGAUUCUGGUGUUAAGUGCAGCCACUCGGUGGCCGUUCGACUCGCGCCGAAGACAGUGUCAGGCGGGGAGUUUGACUGGGGCGGUACAUCUGUCAAAUCGUAACGCAGGUGUCCUAAGGCUAGCUCAGAGAGGACGGAAACCUCUCGUAGAGCAAAAGGGCAAAAGCUCGCUUGAUCUUGAUUUUCAGUACGAAUACAGACCGCGAAAGCGUGGCCUAUCGAUCCUUUUGAAUUAGAAGGUCUCUAGCAAGAGGUGUCAGAAAAGUUACCACAGGGAUAACUGGCUUGUGGCAGCCAAGCGUCCAUAGCGACGUUGCUUUUUCCUUCGAUGUCGGCUCUUCCUAUCAUUGCGAAGCAGAAUUCGCCAAGCGUUGAAUUGUUCACCCACCAAUAGGGAACGUGAGCUGGGUUUAGACCGUCGUGAGACAGGUUAGUUUUACCCUACUGUGACUCGUUGUUGCGAUAGUAAUCCUGCUUAGUACGAGAGGAACCGCAGGUUCAGACAUUUGGUUCAUGUGCUUGGCCGAUCGGCCAAUGGUGCGAAGCUACCAUCUGAGGGAUUAUGACUGAACGCCUCUAAGUCAGAAUCCCGCCUAGUGAAGGCAACGAUAAAUUUGCUCCCCGGUGUCGGGAGGCACUUCUAUGUGACUAUUGAAGUUACAGCUAAUGCCCCAUUAUAUGGCCUUACCGAGCGAUUGAAAGGUCGUGCGGUUGCCAAAGCCGGACUACAGGUACAAUGUCGGGGCGCAAAAUCACUUGCAGACGACUUGAUUACUGGUCAAGGUGUUGUAUCCAGUAGAGCAGCCUCCAUACUGCGAUCUGUUGAGACUCAUCCUUUGAUUGGACGAUUUGU
RNAcentral lists this ribosomal RNA (2293 nucleotides) under Parascaris univalens. RNAcentral's name for it is "eukaryotic LSU rRNA". The stretch from base 1038 to 2291 matches the Rfam family "Eukaryotic large subunit ribosomal RNA", at positions 1889 to 3399 of the family's 3401-position model. The record is from RNAcentral. Lineage: Eukaryota; Metazoa; Nematoda; Chromadorea; Rhabditida; Ascarididae.